CUCCGUGGGCGUAGGACCCUCCGAGCCAGGUGCAGGAUACAGUCUCGUGGUGCGCCGUUUUUUAAGCCGGUCGGAAAAGCGCAGUAUUCGGGUGGGAGUGAACCGAUUUUCCAGUGAGAUGAACCCAGUACCUCAGAUUGAAAUGCAGAAAUCACCCGUCUUCUGCGUCGCUCACGCUGGGAGCUGUAGACCGGAGCUGUUCCUAUUCGGCCAUCUUGGCUCCUCCCUCAGUUCUGGAGACUGGGACAUCCAAGGUCAAUGUGCUGGCAGAUUCAAUGUCUGGAGUGAAAUACAUCACCACUUUCCCUGCUCCCGCCGCCAUUAAAAUUGUGUUUGGCAUCUGACCACCAAGAUACAGAUAUUUCCUAGACUGUUUUGCAGCUAGGUACUUAGAUAGUAAUGAAGAUAGGGGCCACCAUUCCCUGUGAAAAUCAAGUGGGAAAGUCCUGAGUCCUUUAAUGACUUUACAGAGGACAGAAUAAACUCCUAUCAUAUUCAUGC
This 501-nucleotide long non-coding RNA is filed under the name Pan troglodytes (chimpanzee). RNAcentral's name for it is "lincRNA". Lineage: Eukaryota; Metazoa; Chordata; Mammalia; Primates; Hominidae. The record is from RNAcentral.